This is a non-coding RNA of Tribolium castaneum (red flour beetle), 96 nucleotides long. The record is from RefSeq and is marked provisional. Lineage: Eukaryota; Metazoa; Arthropoda; Insecta; Coleoptera; Tenebrionidae.
CGCCCUUUGAGCCCUUCCGGUUUUAGAAUCUGUACGCUUUGUUGUUACUUUAAAAUCACAGAGCUUACGGAUUCUCGAACUGGUGGAGUAUUAAAC